This 329-nucleotide ribosomal RNA is filed under the name Escherichia coli. RNAcentral's name for it is "partial 23S ribosomal RNA". It matches the Rfam family "Bacterial large subunit ribosomal RNA", at positions 768 to 1094 of the family's 2925-position model. The record is from RNAcentral. Lineage: Bacteria; Pseudomonadati; Pseudomonadota; Gammaproteobacteria; Enterobacterales; Enterobacteriaceae.
GGAGGACCGAACCGACUAAUGUUGAAAAAUUAGCGGAUGACUUGUGGCUGGGGGUGAAAGGCCAAUCAAACCGGGAGAUAGCUGGUUCUCCCCGAAAGCUAUUUAGGUAGCGCCUCGUGAAUUCAUCUCCGGGGGUAGAGCACUGUUUCGGCAAGGGGGUCAUCACGACUUACCAACCCGAUGCAAACUGCGAAUACCGGAGAAUGUUAUCACGGGAGACACACGGCGGGUGCUAACGUCCGUCGUGAAGAGGGAAACAACCCAGACCGCCAGCUAAGGUCCCAAAGUCAUGGUUAAGUGGGAAACGAUGUGGGAAGGCCCAGACAGCC